Molecule: ribosomal RNA, 466 nt
Filed under: uncultured bacterium
Lineage: Bacteria
Description: partial 16S ribosomal RNA
Rfam family: Bacterial small subunit ribosomal RNA
Source: RNAcentral
GACGAACGCUGGCGGCGUGCUUAACACAUGCAGGUCGAACGGAAAGGCCCUGCUUUUGUGGGGUGCUCGAGUGGCGAACGGGUGAGUAACACGUGAGUAACCUGCCCUUGACUUUGGGAUAACUUCAGGAAACUGGGGCUAAUACCGGAUAGGAACUCCUGCUGCAUGGUGGGGGUUGGAAAGUUUCGGCGGUUGGGGAUGGACUCGCGGCUUAUCAGCUUGUUGGUGGGGUAGUGGCUUACCAAGGCUUUGACGGGUAGCCGGCCUGAGAGGGUGACCGGCCACAUUGGGACUGAGAUACGGCCCAGACUCCUACGGGAGGCAGCAGUGGGGAAUAUUGCACAAUGGGCGGAAGCCUGAUGCAGCAACGCCGCGUGCGGGAUGACGGCCUUCGGGUUGUAAACCGCUUUCGCCUGUGACGAAGCGUGAGUGACGGUAAUGGGUAAAGAAGCACCGGCUAACUACG